GUGAGAUCUGUGGUCACAAAACGUGUCUUGAUAGCUUCAUUCUAGACAUUAGGAAAACCUGCUGCAUCAGGAGAACAGGGGCCUGGAGAGGAAUCUCCUUCCUUGGAGGAUUUCAAUAAGAGAUCAGAAAAAGUGAGGGUUUACUGAUGUUGGGAAUAGCCCCUGGUUUGAGUGGGAAGUUGGAUUAGAUGACCACUAGAGAUAUCUCUCAGCCUCAUAUUGCACAGGACUCUUGGGGGCCUGAAAAUAUGAAGAAAUCAAGCGUGCCACCAGUAUUAUACCAGAUGUGAGUUUGACAUGAUGUCCUCUAAGAUGCAUAUUUUACUGUUCAAGGUGCUACUAAGAACUAGGAUCCAGGAGCACCAAGACGA
Molecule: long non-coding RNA, 371 nt
Filed under: Numida meleagris (helmeted guineafowl)
Lineage: Eukaryota; Metazoa; Chordata; Aves; Galliformes; Numididae
Description: lncRNA (ENSNMEG00000015713.1)
Source: RNAcentral